ACGCCUUAAACUAAUGAGUAAGGAAAAUAACGCUCCGGUGGAAUAACCGGUGUGCUGGACUAGUUCCAGGCCUAUCUUUGCAGGGCUCAGGCCUUCUCUGCGUGUCUUCUUACUCGCGAAGACGCGCCGAUGAUAGUGGCCUGCCU
RNAcentral lists this small nuclear RNA (146 nucleotides) under Hydatigera taeniaeformis. RNAcentral describes it as "Taenia taeniaeformis U12 minor spliceosomal RNA". It matches the Rfam family "U12 minor spliceosomal RNA". From Rfam's summary of the family: Although the U12 sequence is very divergent from that of U2, the two are functionally analogous. Lineage: Eukaryota; Metazoa; Platyhelminthes; Cestoda; Cyclophyllidea; Taeniidae. The record is from Rfam by way of RNAcentral.